Molecule: long non-coding RNA, 800 nt
Organism: Diceros bicornis minor
Lineage: Eukaryota; Metazoa; Chordata; Mammalia; Perissodactyla; Rhinocerotidae
Exons: 4
Source: RefSeq, a predicted model, not a curated record
ACUGAGCUCUGUCUAUGUGCUAUGUGCUGUGCUCAACUGUCUACAUUUUCUCAUUUAAUCUCCACAACAAUCCUGAGACAGGUGUUAUCAUGAUCUCCAUUUACAGGCAAGGAGAUGGAGGCACGGAAAAGUUCCAGAACUUGCCUAAGAUCAUACUGUUGAAAGAGCACUUCUCCUUAAGGCUCAGAGCAGAGCUGGCAUGAGCAACCCACCGCCGUCUUGGAGCUGGAAAGCAGUGGCAGCCCUGGACCCAUCUACUCUGCCAGCCUCCUGGGAACUUCAAGAGGGAGAAAGAAUGAAGAGAGAAGAUGACACAAAGUCAAGCCAAGGCCACAAAGAUGCCUCUAACCUCUUUGCUGUUCACCCCAGCUGAAUGAAGAGACAGAAUGAAAUGUGCUUACAACAAAAUCGCACUAAGUACAUCAUUUCACCAGCGCUGGUUUGAUUUGUAUAUCAGGUCCUCAGGUGUGCAGCCAUGGCUUCCACCUGAGCAGUUUGGAUAGUUUCUGAGAGGCCGUAAAAGGAAGGAAGGAGUCAGCUGAAGAAUUGGGACCAGAGAAGGCUGUCAAAGGGAGUGGUUGUUCGCAUCAAAGAAGACACCUACCUGCUGGCUGGGGACAUGAAUUACAGUCCCUCAACAAAACCCAAGAGGAGAACUAGGUGACCACUUAAGCACAAUCAGAUCUUGCAGCCUGUUCCCAUUGCAGAAAUACUGUCAUGAAAUCUCUGUGAAAUGGACGAAAAGGCUGGGCCGUGUCCUCCCAGUGAGCACAGGUGGCUGGCUCCGGGCCAGGCGCUGC